CACGUGCCUUGCCAACAUCUGAAGUGAGAAACCAUACCUAGACAGCAGAGCACACAGAACAGGACUUAAGUAUAAACAACACAACCUCGUGUGCGAAACAGGUCAACAGCACGUCGCCAAAGUCUGAGCCAUCAGCAACAACGCCAACAGCAACAACAAACGCAGUAUAUGCUGAUGAUGACAUGCAUGUUUCACUGCAGAAAAUGAGGCACCUUACCUAAUUACUACAUGUGGGACAUUAGAAGAGUGAGAUGGAACGACGGCGAUGGAUGACACUCACAGGCACGCGCAUAUCACAGGCCAGAAGACCAGAACCUUCCUCGCGUCAAAAGCCUUGCUGUUCAAUCGGGCUAUGGCUGCCUUGAGAUGCUGUCAGUGCUGACGAUAUCGUCGACAAGAAAGCAAGGACGCAAGCGGCGACAGUGUGCUCUUUAACCCUCUCACAUCGGGGGCGAAGGAAAGACGCGUCUCCGAAAAUAAAGAAGAAGAAGAAGAAAAAAGGUGUUCCUGGACGUCACCCAGCAUUGUCGUCUGCUUCGCAACCCGCAUUCUCCCUUGCCGGAUGCCCGAUGAUGCCAGCAGUGUGUUGCCACGGUCCACUGAUACUCUUCACAGAG
This is a long non-coding RNA of Ornithodoros turicata, 617 nucleotides long. RefSeq lists it as uncharacterized. The transcript has 3 exons. Lineage: Eukaryota; Metazoa; Arthropoda; Arachnida; Ixodida; Argasidae. The record is from RefSeq and is a predicted model, not a curated record.